Molecule: long non-coding RNA, 895 nt
Filed under: Populus trichocarpa (black cottonwood)
Lineage: Eukaryota; Viridiplantae; Streptophyta; Magnoliopsida; Malpighiales; Salicaceae
Description: long non-coding RNA (PTRI_LNC003627)
Source: RNAcentral
UGGCGUCUUCUUCCUCUCAUCCGGUCCUGAAACCAGAAAUCGGCGGCGUUGGAUGUGGUGGCGGAAGCAGCGGAGGUGGUGGUGGAGAGAGUUCAGAGGCUGCAGUGAUAGCGAACGAUCAGUUAUUACUGUACAGAGGACUAAAGAAGCCAAAGAAAGAGAGAGGAUGCACUGCAAAAGAACGUAUUAGCAAGAUGCCUCCUUGCACUGCUGGUAAACGUAGCUCUAUUUACCGUGGUGUCACCAGGUAUAAAUAUACGUAUUGUUGGGUGUAUUUGUACCUGUAUACGUUUGUACAAUAUUCUUAUUUAGGGUUUAGGUUUAAAGUUUGGAGCUUUUUAUGUUUUGUAUAAAUUAGUGUGUUGUGAGGUGUGAUUGUGUAUGGAUGAAAUGGAAGUUAGAAAGCUAGUUGUUUGUGCUAUGUGGAUUACGUGUUUGAUGAUAUGUGUAAAUGAGUGUUUUUGUGGAUCAAUGUAGUAGAAUUGGGUCCUGGAAAAGAAAAGGAGUUUUUGUUUUUGUUUAAGUGAUAUAAAUAAGAAGUUGGCUCAUUUUUAGAAGCUUGUAACUUUGUGAUUUGAGGAAGAUAACAAUAGUGUAUGGGGUGGUUACUGUUUAAGGGUAAUUGUUAGAGAAUGAUAGUAGUUUAUGAGGUAGUUUAGAGGUUUUAGUGAUUAGGGAUUGAAAGGAAAGUAGUUUGAUAGUUAAGGGUUUUAGUUGUAGUAGUUUAGUAAAAGAAGGACUUAGUUUAUAGUAUGGAAAUGGUUGAAGAAUGUGGGAUACACAAGCAAAAACUUUGUUGAUAGGAAAUAUAGUACAAGAAGGAGAGUUUUAGAACAAAGGUUUUAAACUUAGCAUAGUUUUUUUGGCCUGCCUUACAAGUGAUGGUUGCAUGACU